Molecule: RNA transcript, 2720 nt
Organism: Lycium ferocissimum
Lineage: Eukaryota; Viridiplantae; Streptophyta; Magnoliopsida; Solanales; Solanaceae
Gene name: casein kinase 1-like protein 3
Exons: 16
Source: RefSeq, a predicted model, not a curated record
UAAAUCUGUGUGUUAUUGAGUUUUCACGAUUUUGCCGAAUGUUCUAGAAGCACUUUCGUUUUCUUUUAUGAUCUUUGAAGAAUCUAAUCUGAUCUGAUUUGAUCUGAGCCGUCGAUCUAAGAUAUGGAAAGGAUCGUUGGAGGUAAAUUUAAGCUUGGCCGUAAAAUCGGUAGUGGAUCGUUUGGUGAAAUUUUCCUCGCUACGCAUAUUGAUUCGUUUGAGAUCGUCGCAGUUAAAAUUGAGAAUAAUAAGACUAAACAUCCUCAACUUCUCUAUGAGGCCAAGUUAUACAAUAUUCUCCAGGGAGGAAGUGGUGUACCACAUAUAAAAUGGUCCGGUGUGGAUGGUGAUGAUAACGUACUGGUCAUGGAUUUAUUGGGUCCUAGUUUGGAAGAUCUCUUUGUCUAUUGUGACCGGAAGCUUUCGUUGAAGACUGUUUUAAUGUUGGCUGACCAGAUGAUUACGAGAAUUGAGUAUGUACAUUCUAAAGGCUUUCUACACAGGGAUAUUAAGCCUGACAACUUUCUGAUGGGCCUUGGUCGAAAAGCAAAUCAGGUUUAUAUUAUUGAUUUUGGUCUUGCUAAAAGAUAUCGUGAUGCGACUACAAAUCGCCAUAUUCCUUACAGAGAGAACAAAAAUUUAACGGGAACAGCACGCUAUGCCAGUUGUAAUACUCAUCUCGGAAUUGAGCAAAGCCGGCGGGAUGACUUAGAAUCUCUUGGAUAUGUUCUCCUUUAUUUCUUGAGAGGCAGCCUCCCAUGGCAGGGUCUAAAAGCUGCCACAAAGAAGCAAAAGUAUGACAAAAUAUGUCAGAAGAAGUUGUCAACUCCUAUUGAGGUUUUAUGCAAGUCUCAUCCCGUUGAGUUUGCUUCGUACUUCCAUUACUGCCAUUCGUUGACAUUUGAUCAGCGGCCUGAUUAUGGAUUUUUAAAACGGCUCUUCCGUGAACUUUUUACCCGUCAAGGAUAUGAAUUUGAUUACAUAUUCGAUUGGACCAUCCUAAAGUACCAGCAGGCACAAACAAGUAAACCACAGCAUCGGCAAGUUGUCGGUGAAAGCAGCAGAGCAAUUCCAAUGGAUGUCGAGAAGCGUCAAGUUUCUACAGACAAAAAUGGACCUUCUGUUGCUGAGGUGACUGAUCGCAUGAGACUAAACAAUCCUUCCAGUCCUGGUAUUCGUAUGCAAUUUAAGUCACCAACAAACAGGAAUUUACCCUCCGCCAAUCUUGAAAGAAACGUACUAAGUAGUGCACACAUGCCAUCUACUUCAUUAGCUUCUGUUUUACCAAGAGCAAAUGCCACAAAACCUGCAUUACCCGCUGAAACAACUCAUGAUAGUGAUAUUCCUAGCAGCAGCUGGAUUUCCUCCUUGCGACGUAUUUCUUCUGCAAAGUGAUAAAAUGGAUUAAGCUAAAGUUGGGGCCAAUGUGCUGUCAAAUUGGGCAGCUCAUCCUUAUGCUAUGAUUACAAGAUUGCAUGGAGAUUUGUGUGGCUGAUCAUCCUGCUGCCUGAGUUUUGCAAUUUCACAAGUUCAAGAGGGUGUGAACUGAGCUGGACGGGAAAGCAGAUGGCAGCUGUUUGUCUUUCUUUGGGAGCUCGGGAAUUCCAUUUGAAGACGUCAUGAUAUGCUGUGAGAUGUGGUUUCUGUCAGAGUUAUGGAUCCCUUGGAUUUAAUCAACUCCAGAAGAACAGGAACUAGUGAUUCAAUUGUUUGGUUUGUUGAUGGUGCGAUGGAUCAGUUAUGUAAUGGACAAAGUAUCCACUGGCACCUUUCCAUUUAACAAGUCUUAACGGUUGUUUCGUGGCAGAUCACCGAUAACUUGGGAAACAUUCUGCCUGAACUUAUAUUCCUGCUCUCAAGUGUCUUGCGAAAGCUAGACUUGCUAGGCUCGUGAGGAAUUCAUGCGGAGAAACUUUAUGCCUUCUCAAAUCUGAGCGGGUAACAUGUGGUAGGGUCAUGGAGUAAGGCUAUGGUACUGAACAUCUAGUCCCUCUUGACUUGUCAGGACUUCAGACUGGGAGAUUCAACAUCCAGAUUUUGUGCUGAUUUCAUUUUCAGCAAGGCUAUGGUUCCCACAGUGCACCAUCGUGGUGCUGGAGGAAUAUUUGAUUACACAUUUAUGUCCCAGGAUAUAUAAAGCUCAGUAAGUGGCCGUCGAGCGUUGAAAUCUUCAUGAUUGCAUAACUGAGUAGUUUUUUGCGUGUCCCUGCCCACCCAUUUCUACGGUUUCACCAUUUUGACAUUUUACCCUUCGUGCUCUGAACUUGCUUCCAAGAAGAGUCUUUCCUGUGUCCAGUUCAGAGAGACCCGCCUGUCCAUUCUGUUAUGUUCGAUGUUUCAGAUGGAUCUUGGGAUUCAGACUGCCCUCGAGCUCUUCAAAGAGAGCUGCUGCUGUUUUCUAAAUUUGGUAACCUGAUAAGUUAUACUCCAUAGUCUGCGACUUUGCCAUUCACUUUAUGAACAGUGAGAUCUGAGGAAAGCCAAGGUUCUGUGUUCUGAAAUGGUUGGCAGCCGAUUACGCCGUUAAACAGUACUGCAGGAUGAGAUCUCAUGAAUACCGGUAAACGGUAUUACGCUUCGCGUUUGAAAAAGAAUUUUCAGAGUUCUUUUGUCAAUCUUCUAAUUUUUCUAUAAUCAAAUACCAGUAAGGGGAAAGACGUAUAGUUUUUGCGAAAAAAAUAAUAUUCCUACUUGAUAAAGCUAUGUUACUCGUAUUUGAA